GGUUGCUUGCAAGGGCGUAUGGUGGAUGCCUUGGCAGACAGUACCGAUGAAGGACGUUUGAGGCUGCGAUAUGCCUCGGGGAGCCGCCAGCAGGGCUUUGAUCCGAGGAUUUCCGAAUGGGGGAACCCGCCGGCCGUCAUGGGCCGGCACCGCGUUCGCGCGGGGGGUACGCAGGGAAGUGAAACAUCUCAGUACCUGCAGGAAAGGAUGUUCCGUGAGUAGUGGCGAGCGAAAGCGGAUCAGGCCAAACCGCGCGCGUGUGACAGGCGCCAGCCGUUGCGCGCGUGGUGUUGAGGGAGCGUGUGUCCGGGUCCUGGCGGGCCCGGCCGGAGUGAUAAAACGGCGUGUGAGGCGAACCGGAUUGAAUGCCGGGCCGCAGAGGGUGAUGGCCCCGUAGCCGAACGCGCGUCGUCUCCGGAUCGUGUUUCCCAAGUAGCGCGGGACUCGUGGAAUCCCGUGUGAAUCCGCCCCGACCGUGGGGUAAGCCUAGAUAUACCUGUCUGACCGAUAGCGAACUAGUACCGUGAGGGAAAGGUGAAAAGCACCCCGGGAGGGGAGUGAAACAGUCUCUGAAACCGUGCGCUUACAAACCGUCGGAGCCUUUCGGGGUGACGGCGUGCCUAUCGAAAAAUGAGUCUGCGAGUCAGUGGCACGUGGCGAGCGUAACCCGUGUGGGGUACGCGUAGCGAAGGCGAGUCUCAAAAGGCGUUUGAGUCGCGUGUCCUGGACCCGAAGCGGGAUGAUCUAGCCCUGAGCAGGUUGAAGCGCGGGUAAGACCGCGUGGAGGACCGAACCCACCUGGGUUGAAAACCGGGGGGAUGACCUGGGGCUAGGGGUGAAAGGCCAAUCAAAUUCCGUGAUAGCUGGUUCUCUCCGAAAUGCAUUUAGGUGCAGCGUCGGGGAUUACGUCCGGGGGGUAGAGCUACUGGAUGCUUGAGGGCCCGUAUCGGGUACCGACAGCAGCCAAACUCCGAAUACCCGUGACGCGUAUCCCGGCAGUGAGUCGGCGGGGGAUAAGCUCCGUCGUCGAAAGGGAGACAGCCCAGAUCGUCGUCUAAGGUCCCCAAGCGCGUGCUAAGUGGGAAAGGAUGUGGAGUCGCAUAGACAGCCAGGAGGUUGGCUCAGAAGCAGCCAUCCUUGAAAGAGUGCGUAACAGCUCACUGGUCUAGUGGUUCCGCGCCGACAAUGUAGCGGGGCUCAAGCACGCCACCGAAGACGCGGCAGCGUCCGUUUGGAUGCUGGGUAGGAGAGCGUCCCCAUCGGGGCGAAGCGGCGGCGCAAGCCUGCCGUGGACCGUUGGGGAGUGAGAAUGCAGACAUGAGUAGCGAGAGGCGGGUGCGAAUCCCGCCCGCUGGAUGACCAAGGGUUCCGGGGCCACGUUCGUCGUCCCCGGGUGAGUCGGGUCCUAAGGCGAGGCCGACAGGCGUAGUCGAAUGGAUGAACGGGCUGAUAUUCCCGUACCGGCAGCGAACCGAAACAACCGAGGCCUGGGGCGCUAACCUCCGGGUCCGUGCCGUCUCCCCUUUCGGGGGGUCGCGGCGCGGGCGCGUUGGGAUCCCCCCUCGUAGUAGGUCAGCGCAGGAGUGACGCAUCAGGGCAGCCGGCCGCGGAGGUGGUUUUCCGUGGUCAAGCGUUCGAGCCCGUCCCGCAGGCAAAUCCGCGGGGCGUCGGGGCGAGGCGUGAUGAUGGGGGCCUUACGGCCCGAAUCCGGUGAUCCGUGGUGCCGAGAAAAGCUUCGGCGUCAGGCGCGUUGCCGCCCGUACCCCAAACCGACACUGGUGGUCAGGUAGAGAAUACCAAAGCGAUCGAGCGAAUCCUGGUCAAGGAACUCGGCAAAUUGCUCCCGUGCCUUCGGCAUAAGGGAGACCCCCUGCGGUGAUGAGCGGCGGGGGGUGGCACAGGCCAGGGGGUAGCGACUGUUUACCAAAAACACAGGAGCGUGCGAAGGCGCAAGCCGCUGUAUACGCUCUGACGCCUGCCCGGUGCCGGAAGGUUAAGAGGAUCCGUCAGCUUUCUGCGAAGCGGUGAAUUCAAGCCCCGGUAAACGGCGGUGGUAACUAUAACCAUCCUAAGGUAGCGAAAUUCCUUGUCGGGUAAGUUCCGACCUGCACGAAUGGCGUA
This 2121-nucleotide ribosomal RNA is filed under the name human gut metagenome. Its description in RNAcentral is "bacterial LSU rRNA". It matches the Rfam family "Bacterial large subunit ribosomal RNA", at positions 1 to 2003 of the family's 2925-position model. The record is from RNAcentral.